GGCACUAUAUUUAAACCUAUGUAUGGGAAAUGUCCCCAUUCUUGGUUACGCUGUAGUGCAAAAAGAAUUCCUGGCUCCUUGUAGCACAGCUGACUCAUGCCAUUUUGCUGUUGCUUUAUGGAGUUAAGGAACAUGA
RNAcentral lists this small nucleolar RNA (136 nucleotides) under Mus pahari (shrew mouse). Its description in RNAcentral is "predicted gene, 26493 (MGP_PahariEiJ_G0034429.1)". It matches the Rfam family "Small nucleolar RNA SNORA46". Rfam says of the family: ACA46 is a member of the H/ACA class of snoRNA that guide the sites of modification of uridines to pseudouridines. The record is from RNAcentral. Lineage: Eukaryota; Metazoa; Chordata; Mammalia; Rodentia; Muridae.